Molecule: long non-coding RNA, 17165 nt
Filed under: Prunus persica (peach)
Lineage: Eukaryota; Viridiplantae; Streptophyta; Magnoliopsida; Rosales; Rosaceae
Description: long non-coding RNA (PPER_LNC005023)
Source: RNAcentral
ACAUGUGCAGGCUUUCUGGGUGGUGGGAGAAGAAGUCAAGGAUCCUCCAAGGCUCUUGAAUGUGCGACUUGGGGUUCGGUUUGAGAGCAUGGACCAUGUCCGGGAAUUUCAUUCCGUCACGAACAAAAAAGACAGGGAAAUUGUUUCCAACCAGGUCAAAAUUACCCUGUGUUUAAGAACAAAGUCGCCACAUGAGUACUAACAACACAGCAAAAUAAACCUGAAUAAAGUUGUAUAUAGUGAAUAAUAAUGUUACCAAGAAAUCAACCAUCUGUAUAAGCAUCUAGAUUACAGAUGGUAUGCUACAUGAGCAAUCUUUUACAGCCAGGUGACUACCCCCAUUAGUAAACGAAAAUGAAAAGGCAAAGAAAAGAAAGGAAUGAAUGCAAUCUUUCAUCAAAGUCACAAGACUGCAUAAUUUCCAACAACUAUAAUUAGUCAAAUAUGAAUUGAGUACUUCAUAUUUUGUCACCACAGCCACCUCAGCUGCCACUACAGACACCAAUACAUAUCCACUAAAUAUGCCUAUGCUAUUGAAAAUAAAAAUAAAAUUAACACAUUGAUAAUAUAAAGGUAAAAACCUCACCUCUCUGGUGUAAAACUUCACUGCAAAACCACGAGGAUCCCUCAGGGUUUCAGGGCUGCCACGCUCAUGGAUAACAGUGGAGAAACGCACAAUGACAGGUGUCUGAACACCGGGGGCUCGAAGGAAGUCAGCACAUGUAAGCUGAGAAAUAUCAUGAGUGACCUCGAAGAAUCCCUUCGCACUGGCUCCCCUAGCAUGGACAACACGCUCUGGGAUUCGUUCUCUAUCAAAGUUGGCAAGUUUCUCCACCAGAUGAUAGUCCUCAAGGAGAAUUGGGCCUGACAAAUAGACACAGAAAUUUAAUUCGGAACUGCACCGACUCAACUCACCAUAUUUAAGCAUCUAGAUUACAUGCAAAUAUAGGAUAAAAAUGAAAUUAGUUGUUAUACAUUCCAGAACAUCAAAUAAAGAUGAUUGCUGCUCAGUUGCAAAUAUUCGUAAUUUUUAUUUACAUUUAGAAGGUAGGUUUUCAGACAACCAGAUGAUCAAAAAACCCAUCUUGACAAACCAAAAGGAGGCUGGAGGAAUUAAAAGAGAACCAACAGUGCGGGAGAAUCAUUUUUCAACUAAAGUAAGCAUAAAAUUUUAAAAUAAAUGUCAAUAGGAAAAGGAUCAGCUUCAAAUACAAGAUAUAUAAGUAUAUAUACAUAUCUUAAAUCCCACAAGCGUUUCCAAAGAUUAAUCAUCCUCAACAUGGUAGUGGUGGGAAUAACAUCCAAAAAGCAGUUUACAGCUCAUAAUCACAUGAAUAUCAAAAUCUUGUUCAGAAAAGUUGAGAAAACCAUCACAAAAAUUCAAAACCCAGGUAAGCGAAGAACCAAUGAUAACAAAGAUGAAUAUAUACACACAAAUAGUGAAUAGCAUCAUAAGAUAGAUUGAACAUGAAGCGCAACUAAAAAAACAAUAAAAUAUAAAAUAUAAACUGUGUUGCAAUUGAAAAGCCAGCAUCAAUCAACGAAGAGUUGUGAUGAAUUACCUCUAGAUCCAACAGUCAAAGAAGAGUUGUUGUUCCAAACAGGAGCACCGGAGUUUGUGGUCCAGAAUGGGGAAUCAAAAGCACUUGAAGGGCGGUACUGCAACAUACACAACGAAAACGAAACAAGACCAUGAUGAGCUAAAAGAACAACAAACACAAAAUUUCGAGCUACGCUUAAAUGACCAAUCUGAUUGAUCAAGAAGAUUAAUUCAUCAAGAAAUCAAACUUAAACAAAUCAAGAGAUAUUAUAACAGGGAAAUGAGUACCUUGUAAGGAUCCAUGGAGAAAGAGGGGGAAGGAGGAGUUUGAUAAGAAGGUGAGAGAGCAGAGCAAAGCCACCCAAAGGGAGGGUCGUGUGGCAAAUGAGAAUCGAAGAGCGAAAUGUGAAAUUGGGGAAUUUAUAAACACUUGCGGGUCGUGGGCGUGGCUCGCGCUUCUGCGCAAAUUACCAAUCUCAGCAGGUUAUCUUUAUCCACACACAGAGUGGGAGGUCAAGAGAAGAGAAGACAUAUCUUUGCCAAUUUAGCGUCGCGAGUCAGAACGAUUCUCGCCAAACCUGUCAACGAAGCAUUCUUGUAUGCACAAUUGUGGCAAAACGUCCUUCACUCACUUCAAAUCUUUUACAACCAAUUUUAUGAGGAGGGAUUUUUUUACAAAAAAAAUAAAAAAUUAUACAAUUUUAUGAGGAGAUGGUAUGCAACAAAAAAACAGAGGGGAUUCAGAUUUUUUUUUUUUAAUGGAAAUUAUUGUCCAAAAACAAAAGAAACAUUGAAGAAAUUGAGAGUUCAAUUUAAAAGUAAAAGAGAUCAUUAAAAUGAGUAAAAGAGACUAGAAACACCAUAAUUGACUGUGUAAUUAUAAAAUAUAUGGAGUCGUUUUUUUAUUUUUCAAAUUUUGUGAACAUAUUAUCCCUAAAUAAUGAACACAAAAAUUGAUUUAAAUAUAAUGUUGGUGUUGAUUGCAAUUAAUAAUAGCUAACUAUAGAGAUUUGAUUGAAACAAUUAAAACAUUUCACCACGACAACAAGGUCAAGAAUGCAAGUUGUUUAUUAUUAUGAAUUGGUUUCAAGACGAACAAUUUAACAACAAAUUCCAAACCUCUAUAUUUAGGAUUCAUGCAUUUAUCUACAUUUUAUGAAACUAAGUUGCUCAAAUAAUCUAACCAUUUAACAUGACACAUCAUCAAUUUUUAACCUAAGAUUUUUUUAAAAAAAAAUUGAAGUUAAUUUUAAAGUUAACGUGCUUGAGGGGUUUUUUUUUUCAUCAUGCUUCCUCCUUGAGAAAACUGUGAAUAAAAUUAAUUAAUUGCUACUUAUCUUCAGCUUAUAUAUUGAACCCUAAAGCAUAAAGCGAACUUCAAAACUUUAAUUUUUUGGCCACACAAACUUGAGCAAAGUAUGUCUUAUCUUUUUCACAAGAUUAUUCACUCUCAUUCUAAAUUCAUCGUGAUAUGUUAAGAAAUAACAAGUUUCACGAUGAACUAAAAAAGAACUCUCAAGCACGUUAACAUUAACGUUAGCAUAAGUUUUUGGAAAGAACGAAAAAGACCUUAAUUUAAAGAUUGAUGAUAUGUCAUAUGAAUGGUUAAAUUAUUUAGUUUAAAUUUUACGAAAUAUAAAUAAAUACACGGAUUCUAAAUAUAGAAAUUUGAUAUUCAUUUGCCAUAAAUAUCACUUUAAGAGUGAAAAUCCAGAAUACUAAACUAAAAUUAUAUUUCUUCACAAAAAUUGCAUCUAAAGAUGAGGAUAAAUUGAUGUUCAUCCGGACAUUGAAAAAGCACAAUAUAUCGUGAAGAUAUUCGAUAUAUUGAAAACCUCGCCGAUAUUCAUGUAGGAAGGCUAAACGAUUUUUUUAUGGCAAAAACUUCAACAACAACAACAAAAAAAGAGGCCUGGAAAAUUAUUAUUAUCAUAAUCGUGGUGGGAAUUCAAAAUUGAAAAUAAUUGAGAACGUCAUGCAUUCAUCGUUCGUUAUCCAGGUCUUGGAGCUUUGCUAACACCUAGGCGCAACCACUUAAGGCAGUGGCGGGUAUGGGUGACGUGGUCCACUCACAAGACGCCACGACCACCAAAGUGUACCUUGAAACGCGUGCUCUUAGAAAAUAGCACAGAGAUUCUCUCUCUCAGGGGAUAUGCUUGAAAUUUAUGAACAAAACAGAAGGAAAAAUAAAAACAAACAAGAGGCUAUUUUUGGUGUUGUCUGUGUGAAAGCCGCCAAAACAGCAAAUAUGCUGAUAAGGUUAGAAUGGGCCGAGCUCAGAUUAGCCACAAAGACUGUUCCUCUCUGGGCCCACUUAUCAAUAUUUUAACAUUUUUUUUAAUGGAGCUCGACAAUGAACAAAUUUUGAAGGUAAUUACUUGAUGUUAGUUAGAGAACCUCUAUGUCUAAGGGAACUACGAGUUCAAGGAAGCUUUGAGGUAUGCUCAUGUGACCCUACUUCUUGUUCUUUAUGCAUAAACAUAUUCAAGUUGCAUGUUCAAGGCUUGCCAUCUAAUCAUUAUAUAAUAUUUUGAUCAUCUAUUAUAAAAAUAUAAAAAAAACUAUGUAACUGGGCCUUGGUGCAAUAAGAACUUAAGCAUUAGCUUCAUGUAUGUAGGAAAAGUAGCAAAUAAUUUCAAUUGUAAAAUGAAUGCUUUGGUUUCUUUUCUUGUUAAUGCCGUUUGACUGGUUGUUUUGUCUUAGUGGUUCUUUGACCUCUCUUUGGUCUUUUUAUUGAAAGUUAUGUUGAGAAACUGAAAUUAACUUAAACGUAAAAGGAUUUUUUGAGUAAACAUAUUUCACAGCAUAAGAAUACUGCAGUUUUCCUCUCUUAUAUAUAUCUGAAAAACAAAGCUUACAAAAUAACAAUCUCCACAAUAACCACUAACACACAAGUGCAGAUUUUGUGGAGUUCAACUACCUUAAGCAACGGAAGCAAAUUUGAACGUGGUGAACAGACUAAACCACAACUUCUACAUUCUAGGACUUCAGCUUGACUUGGUCUCUACAUGGCCAUGUCAGCAUUAUUUAAUUAAAAAACUAAUUAAACUUAACUAAAUAACUUUUAACACCCUCCCUUAAACUGAUUUUUACGAAAAACAGUUUAGGAUCUCUACACCAUCACAUAAUCAUCUUCCUGUUCAAUGCUUUGAAAUGAACAAACUCCCAACAUGCUUCUCAGCUUCUCAAGCGCAGGUACCAUCACAUAAUCAUCUUCCUGUUCAAUGCUUUGAAAUGAACAAACUCCCAACAUGCUUCUCAGCUUCUCAAACGCAGGUUGCUUCAAAGGCUUAGUUAAGAUGUCUGCAACCUGCUCCCCACUCUUGCAAUAUUCAAGUACAAUCUUCCCAUCACUGCACAGGUCACGCAAAAAAUGAAAACGUACAUCAAUGUGUUUACUUCUCCCAUGCAUGACUGGAUUCCUCGAUAGCUUUAUAGUUGACAUGUUGUCGCAGUAGAUGGUUGUUGGUCCCUUUUGAACAUCACCAAGCACUUCAAAUAUUUUCCUAAGCGACAUAGCUUGACAGGAGCUUGCAGCUGCUGCUACAUAUUCAGCUUCUGUUGAGGAAAGUGUCACAAUUUGUUGCUUCUUUGAGGACCACGAUAUUGCACCAGAGUUGAGCAGAAAUGUGUGACCGGAAGUGCUCUUACGAUCAUCUAUAUCACCUGCAUAGUCACUAUCUGUGUACCCAACAAAACCAGAACCAUCUUCCCUUUUAUAAAACACACCAUAAUCAAUUGUCCCCUUUACAUACCUGAGAAUUCUCUUUGCUGCAUUGAGAUGCAUUUCAGUUGGUUUUUCCAUAUAUCGGCUCACAAGACUCACUGCAUACAUGAUGUCAGGCCUCGUGUAUGUUAAAUACAUGAGACUCCCAAUUAUCUGUUUAUAGAAAGUGCUGUCAACCUCCUUUCCACCUUUGUCUUUGCAUAGCUUUAAGCCAUGUUCAGCUGGAGUUCCAAAUGGCUUGCAGUCAUCCAUCUGAAACCUGUUAAGAAUGUCCUGUGCAUAUUUUUUCUGGUAGAUGAAAUUACCAGCAGUAGUUUGAAUGACUUCCAAUCCAAGAAAAUAGUGCAUUAAUCCUAGAUCAGUCAUUUCAAACUCCAUCAUCAUAGACUUCUUGAAUUCAUCAAACAUUUUAGCAUCACUUCCAGUGAAUAUCAAGUCAUCAACAUACAAGCAUACCAUGAGUAUUUUACCUUCUUCCUCAGUCUUGACAUAAAGUGUGUGCUCAAAAGGACAUUUGUGAAAUCCAAGCUUAGCAAAGUGAGCAUCUAUGCGACUGUACCAAGCUCGAGGUGCUUGUUUCAGUCCAUAGAGUGUUUUCUUCAGUUUGAACACCUUCUCUUCUUCUCCUUUUCUCUCAUAACCAGGUGGUUGAUCAAUGUACACCUCCUCUUGCAGGUUUCCAUGCAGGAAUGCUGACUUCACGUCUAACUGAAAAAUUUGCCAGGAAUUUUGAGCUGCAAGAGAGAUCACUAACCUAAUCGUGUCGUGCCUCGCAACUGGGGCAAACACCUCUUUGUAAUCAAUGCCAUGCUUCUGCUUGUAGCCCUUAGCUACCAAACGAGCUUUGUGCUUGUCAACCUCACCUUUUUCGUUCAACUUUGUUCUAAACACCCAUUUAACACCAAUGGUUUGCUUUCCCUUUGGAAGAUCAGUUAACUCCCAGGUUUGAUUCUUCUCAAUGGACUUGAUUUCAUUGUCCAUUGCUUCCCUCCAUUUCUCCUCUUUAACAGCCUCAGUAUAUGUGAUUGGAUCACUAUCUACAAGUAAUGCAAAGUGAGCAUUUUCAUCAUCAGAACUUGAAUAACUUACAUCGUAGUCCAUCAUCCAUGCUGGCCUCUUCCUUGAGUUCUCAUCUCUCAAAUUGUAUCUCUCUUCUUCAAACUGUUGAGAUGACUGAACUUCAAGUUGAGGUGGCUGCUGGGCUUGAGUUUCAGGAGCUGCUACCUCUUCAUUGUCUAAAUCAUCAUAAACUGGAAUUUGUUGUUGAACCGAUCUGUUCUCAGACCAAUUCCACAUAGUGUCUUCAUCAAAUAUCACAUCCCUGCUUACCACUAUCUUCUUUGUAACUGGAUUGUACAGUUUGUAUGCUUUUGAGACUUCACUUACACCAAGAAAAACACAUUUUUCACUUUUGUCAUCCAACUUCUUUCUUUUCUCAUCGGGGAUGUGUGCAUAUGCUAUGCACCCAAACACCCUAAAGUGAUCAACCGCAGGCUUCAAUCCACUCCAAGCUUCUUGAGGAGUCAUAUUCUUAACAGAAAAUGUGGGACUUCUGUUUAAAAUAUGAACUGACCAUAGCACAGCUUCAGGCCAAAACUUCUUGGGAAUUCUUCCUUUGACUAGCAGACUUCGAACCAUGUUGAGAAUGGUGCGAUUUUUCCUCUCACUUACACCAUUUUGUUGUGGUGUAUAGGCAGUGGUCAACUGUCUCUUGAUGCCUUUCUCUUUGCAAAAUGCAUCAAAUUCCUUCGAACAGUACUCUCCCCCACGGUCAGUUCUUAGAGUUUUAAUCUUCUUUUCUGAUUCAUUUUCAACUAGAGCUUUGAAGCUUUUGAAUGCUUCAAAUGCCUCUGAUUUUUCCUGCAAGAAAUAUACCCAUGUCUUUCUACUAAAAUCAUCAGUAAAGGAGAUGAAAUAUUUCUUGUUACCAUUUGAGAUGGGAUUUAUUGGUCCACAUAGAUCAGAGUGAACCAUCUCCAGGAUUUAUUGAGCCCUUGCUGCCUUGCCACUUGGAAAAGAGUCUCUUUUGUGCUUCCCAGUGAUGCAUUCUUCACACAUCUUUGAUGGAGGAGUUAUAUCAGGUAAGCCAGUGACCAUCCCUUUCUGGUGAAGUGUUCUCAAGCCAUUAAAAUUCAAAUGGCCAUAUCUGUAGUGCCAUCUCCACGGGUCAUCUUCUUUGGCAAAUAAGCAAGCCUGCAGAGUCUUGAUUUUCAAAGGAAACAAUCUGUUGGAAGACAUUUUCACAACAGCAAUGGACCCUCUUUUUGGGUCGUACACUUCCCACUCUCCUUUAUAGAUUGUAAUCCUAUAGCCUUUAUCUUGUAACUGACCAGCACUCAGCAAAUUUGUCUUCAAAUCAGGAAUAUAAAAAACAUUUGAGAUAGUUUCAAUAAAGUCAUUUUUAGUUUUGAUUUGAAUAUCUCCCUUACCCAUCACUUUCACUGUUGACUUGUCACCAAAACUCACUACCGUGUGAAAGCUUUCAUCCAAAUUAAUAAAGGAAGACUUACAUCCACUCAUGUGAUUGCUGCAGCCUGUGUCCACAUACCAUGUCUCCUGAUCAGUUUUUGUCAGUGCAUGAAAAGCCAUCAAAAGUGUCUCUUCCUCCUUCUUUUUCUCCACAAAAUUUGACUUUUCUCCUUUUUCUUUUGGUAACUUCGUGUAGCACUCAUUCUUGUAGUGCCCAAAAUUUCCACAUCUAUAACACUCCACUUUUGACUUAUCAAAGUGGUACGUUCCUUUUUCUUCAAAGUCAUCAUCUCUUUUGAAAACAUGAGAUGACUUGCUGUCAUCUCUAUGUCCAGACCGUCCACCUCCUCGAUGACCUCGACCACCUCUUCCUCUAUCACGUCCACCUCUUCCACGACCUCUUCCUCCUCGAGAACUUGAGGACUCAGAAACAAUGGAAGCUUUCAGAGCUGUUUGUUCUUCACUGGCAGUGGUGCGGUUAAGUCUUUGUUCAUGCACUAACAAAGAGCUUUGUAGUUCAUCAACUCGUAACUCAGCAACGUUCUUUGCCUCUUCAAUUGAACAGACAAUGUAGUCAAAUUUUGGAGUCAAUGAUCUCAUAAUUUUCUCCACAACUUUGACUUCUUCCAUGGUGCCACCAUUGGAUCUCAUCUUGCUUGCUAUUCCCAGAGUUCUAGCAAAGAAAUCAGUGAUGGACUCUCCUGAUUUCAUUUGUAAAGUUUCGAAGUCCCUUGUUAGAGUUUGAAGCACUGCACGCUUCACCCUCUCUGACCCUGCAUAUUUCUUCUUCAAAGAAUCCCAUAUUUGUUUGGAGGUCUCCUUCUCGAGUAUCGUCUCCAAGAUAGAUCGAUCAAGUGCCUGAAAAAGGUAAUUUUUCACCCUCAAGUCCUUCAGCUUCUGUUCAGCAACCCUCUUUUGUUGUUGUUCAGUCAACACAACUCCCUCUGCUGGGGCGUCAAUUCCUGAUUCCACAAGAUUCCAAUACUCCUUUGACCUGAGAAAAUUUUCCAUCAGCAUGCUCCAAUGGUCGUAGUGACCAUCAAAUCGUGGAAUCGCUGGUUGAAUAAAACUCUCAGUGGCUUUCUCUGUUGCCAUUGUUUCUUGCUGCUGCAAGACACAAUCUUUCACCUUUUUUUCAAGUUUGUUCAGGCCCAGAAGAGCUCUGAUACCAGAUGUUGAGAAACUGAAAUUAACUUAAACGUAAAAGGAUUCUUUGAGUAAACAUAUUUCACAGCAUAAGAAUACUGCAGUUUUCCUCUCUUAUAUACAUCUGAAAAACAAAGCUUACAAAAUAACAAUCUCCACAAUAACCACUAACACACAAGUGCAGAUUUUGUGGAGUUCAACUACCUUAAGCAACGGAAGCAAAUUUGAACGUGGUGAACAGACUAAACCACAACUUCUACAUUCUAGGACUUCAGCUUGACUUGGUCUCUACAUGGCCAUGUCAGCAUUAUUUAAUUAAAAAACUAAUUAAACUUAACUAAAUAACUUUUAACAAGUUAAUCAAAUAAAAUAAAAAUAAAACAACAAUUAGAAGGGUUGCAAUUAGAUAGGCUUGCUAGGCUCCAAGAGGUGCAAGACUGUCUUUUGAUUAAAGUUCAAGCUCCCAAGUCCAAAUUUGGGGCACCAACUAGCCUAUCUCAUUGCAGGCGCUUAACACUUGAAGGGACUGGCGCAAUGAUUUACUAGUAAAAUUUGUAAUAGCUUAAGACUUCGCUAGUAUCAUUUAGUAGUUACAAAUCACUUUACUUCGCCAGUAGUGAGUCCCAAUAUCGGCUGAAUUGCUCUUUCGCCAGUAUUAGUCUGUCGGUAUAAGCUAAAAUUGUAGUAGUGUAAGCUAAUUCUUGAUUUACUGUAAUUAUUCCCUUAUCGGUUAAAACUUCAAAUCAUCAAAGAAAAUCAAAGCACUCUCUAAGAAUUUCACCCUUUAAGAGUGCAUUGAGGCAAACCUAAAAAAAUUCUUCUUCAUCAUCAUCUUGUCACGCUUCCUGAAUCCACCAUAGGAGAUUUUAGUUUGGCCCUCUGGAUGUCCUCUUUUAGGUCUUUACGCACCGCUUCUUGGGGCUUAUCACUUGAGCUCCCAAAGAUCACUCUCUUAGCUUCAGCAAAACUUCCGUCGUGAUCUCGUUUGCGUUUCCCUAGGAUCUCCAAGGCCUCCAGCUGUUUUUGCAUCUCUUUAGAAUAAGAAGUUACCAUCUUUGAUAACUUUUCAUUUUCUGCCUGCAAUAUUUGAAGCUAGCGUUGAUUCUCCUCUGCUGUUUUUUCCUCUUUUUUUUUUUUUCAAUCUUUUGAUCUCACGCCGAUAUUCAUCAACCAAAUUCUGCUCUGCCACAACUAAGCUCUCAGUACUUGCACCUCAUAAGAUUUUGCAAUGAGGCGAUGCCCCACACUUGUGAUAGUUGUCGCAUUUUGCAAGCACAGUGCCACAACAUUGCUCACUAACCGGUUGUCAUCCCCCGUUCCUAGUAUGCAUACAUCCCUGGGAGUCACCAAACUCUUCGCAACUCCAAUGGCAACCUCGUUGUCAAGGAGUAACGAGUCGCUUUUUGUCACUGGUCCUCGUGAAGAAGCAAAGUAGGGUAUCCAGACUGGUGCAACUCCUUGCCCCUAUGUCUGUGUUGGCGGAGCUAGGUUAAGAUCCAAAGAAGAUGAGAAGGGAUACGACAUUUUCUUUCUGCUUUCUUUUUCUUUCAUUUUCUCUCUUUUCUCUUUCUUCUUUCCUUUCUCUUUUCUUUCUUUCUUUUCUCUCUUCUGCGUGGUUGUAAUUCUUCUUUUUCCUUUGUUUCCUUUAAUAGAUGAACCCUAGCACCAUUGCACCGUCUAAUUUUUCCGCAUUCCUUGAGCUCCACAGCCUUCUCGCUUUCCACCGUCUACAACUUUGUCGCGACUUGUGCAACGUCGUCCCUACUAUCCAUGGCACCCAUAAUUCCGCUUGUAGAUUUGUCGUACCUCUGCGCGUCGACACAUGUCUCCUCUCUCUAGGGGUGGGCAUUGGAUUUGUGGUUCAAAUUGAUUUAGGGUUGAUUAAAAUAAAAUGGCAGCCCUAGAAACAGUGACCAGGUAUCUAUCCCAUAUGACAUAAAACAUUUAAAAACAUCCAUGGGACUAUAUUUAAAAAAUCAACUUGAUAAUGUUUAGUUGGAUUGUAUAAUGUGUUUUGUUUUGUUUUGUUGGAUUAUAAAAUGUUUAAGUUUCUGUUUUUUUGUUUAUUUAUAAAAUCAUCCAUGGGACUUCAUUUUCGGUUCAAGGUUCCAUUUUUUUAAGAAACCAGUCCAAAUCGGACCAUGCCCACCCCUACCUCUCUGUCUCUUUUUUUGCUUUGUUUUCCUUCUCUCUCUCUCUCUCUCUCUCUCUCUCUCUCUCUCUCUCUCUCUCUCUCUCUCUUCCUUAUAUAUUCUCUCCUCUCUCUGUUUUUUUAUUUAAAUUUUUUCAAUUGUGAGUUUUGUAACAUGCAUGUUAUUUUAUUUAUGAACCCAUUACACGACUCCAAACUCACACAAAAAAAGACGACCCGAACCCAAGAAGACAUGUUUAUUAAAUGGGUUAGAUUCGGGUUGAGCAUUCUUGACACGUUUGUUAAUUGGAUUGGGUUAAAUAAAUCAAUGACAGCAUAAAAUGAACACAGGGUUUGUGAAAAAUGUGAUAUUUUCAAUGACUAUAUUAAUAAAUCUUUAUUUUUUGAGUAGUUAGAUUUUUGCACAAAGCUUACCUUCCUCAACUGAUAGCUGCAUUGAUCUUUUGUCUAGCUCAACGGCGUGUCUGCUAAGCUCAGAUGGUGAUAAUUGACGAAGCGCUGGCAACAUGAUGAACGAAGAGCAUUUUCAGUGCUGGCAAAACUAAAGGCAGAAAAAUUGUAUGAAAUUUUUUAAAUUGAAAGAGCAGUGCCAUAAUAAAAUGACCUACUCUGGAUCUAUUCUCUCUGAUCAGAAUCAUCAAAUUGCUUCAAGAGGUUCUUGAAAUGUAGAAACCCUUCUGUCCUUUGCUCAUCAUGGUUCUUCUCAGAACCAACCAAGUGAGGAACCAGAGAUUCAGGAGUGAAUCUAAGUUGCCUGGAAUGAGCAGCUGGCAAUCCAUUGGAACAGGUGGUUUACCAGGUGAAAAAUCUACCGGAGAAGCCAAGGGCAUUGGUGCGAACGCAGAUGUCUCAUGUUCCUGCUUCUUGGUUCUGUCUCUAGGUAGGUCUUGCUGCUUUUGCAAACAAUAUCGUUUGAAAUUGAGAGAGUAAGUAUUUUGUUCUCACACCUUUAACUCUUCGCUUGCCUAAUGCUGAAUCUAACUUCCUCGCACUACCACCAUGCAUGAGCUGAUCACUUGCACUGCUGAUGCUCGUGAAUUGGUGACAAGGGGAGCUCCGUGGCAACUCAGGGUUGAGUAUCUUAGUUCCCAAAACCUUAAUGGGAUGCGCGACUGGUCGUCCUAGAAAAACAUACUUGUUAGGGUUAGAGGUCCAUCGGAGUAGUCAUUAGCUGCUAAUCAACCCGAGAGAGAGAGAGAGAGAGAGAGAGAGAGAGAGAGAGAGAGAGAGAGAGAGAGAGAGAGAGCAAAGAAGAAAUGUGGGGCGUGUUUUUUUUUUCCUAAUCUUAUAAUUAAGCGUGUGUUUUCUAAAUCGGGGCAUGUGAGUUGUAUUAGUCGGGUAAUGAGAGUAUUAAAAACUUUCGUUUAAUAUAAUUCAGUAAUUAAGUAAUACAAGUUGACAUCAAACAAAUGACAUUGACUAUUUACUCAUAUCCAUAGUCUAAUACCAUGUACCAAACAUACCUAUACGAGCUUUUGCCACAUGACUCAUCUAACAUGACAAUCCAAGUCCACAAACACAAGCAUACACACUAAGACAGGACACUCAUAUGCAUGUGAACUACAAGAACGACUGCAUAAUAUCUUGUAUAGAAACAAGACAAUACAACCGGCGCUUAUUACAUUGGAACUACAGUUCACAUUACAUACCAAAUUUAGUAUAACACAGAUAGGAAUUCAAACAUUUGACUUGGCAUAACCCUCAAAUGCUUGGCCUCACAUUGAGACGGGAUAAAAGCUUUUGACCCAGAGACUUAUCUGCCUGCAUUGCCAAUACAAGCACAUAACAUCAGAACAACAUGGCUUAUUCUAAAACUAACCCUUCAUAUUCCAGUAUCACAUCAUCACGUUGCUUAACGGUACAAAUUCACAAAUGCAAUAAUUUAUAAAUAGACUCACCUGAGACCAGUAUGAGAUCCAAAUGCUGCGAAUCUCAUGGGUGACACGAGGGUCUGAUAGGGCAUCCACCCAUCGGCGGAUGAAUCGCUCUUGCCUGCAUGAAGAUGCAAGAUUAAGAACAAUGUUUAAAUACAAUUAUUUUCAUACAGAGACAUCACAGGGUUGCCAGGUACCUGUCUGGCGCCCAAGAUCUGUAUCUCUCUCCAGGUUGCUUAAAGUUGUUCUCCUUCUCAAUGACGCACUGAAUAACCAAAACAAAGUUCCCAUAUGAAUUAUUAUGUGCAGAAAACAAGGAAAAUCCAGAAAUGCAAUCGGUGCAUAUGUAUACACACACACACCUACACUAGUGUAUGUGCCCAGGUGACAGAAAAAGGGACACAGCUGGAAGAAAAGAUGAUGUACAGACGAGACGGGGAAACUAAGGUAUAUUAUUUAAAGCAAUAUUCCUCAAUUGAUAGAAACUGACCUUCUCACGCUUUCCAGAAAGGAUAUUAGAAGGAAUGGGGUAGCGCUCAGCAUGACGAACAGGAUCAUGCCUUGAAGGGAAGUAAUUAACCUGAAAAUAACAGUAUAGCAACUCAUCAGAGAAAACUCAAAUGAAUAAACAUGCAUACAAUUGGAGUUGUCCUCCCAGAAUAUUGAGCAAUCGAAGUAUACAAGGGCCAAAGCGAUUCCAUAUGAGACAUAACAAUUGAGUAAAAUAAUAAUACCUCCUCAUCCCUGUGCAUGAAAUUCAUGAAUCCCUCAUGAUGAUUGUUAUGAUGAGGACACUUGGGAGCAUUCACUGGGAGCUGCAGAUAGUUCGGGCCAAGACGGUGCCUCUGAGUAUCAGAAUAUGCGAAGAUUCGAGUUUGGAGCAUCUUAUCAUCUGAAUAGUAGAUACCAGGGACAACAUGGGCAGGGUUAAACGCAAGUUGUUCAUUCUCUGCAAAGAAGUUAUCGAUGUUUUUAUUCAGAACCAAACGGCCAACUGGCUGCAGGGGAAGGAUAUCUUCAGGCCAGGUCUUAGUUAAGUCAAGAGGGUCAAAGUCAAAUCUGUCCUCGUGAUCAGGAUCCAUUGUCUGAAUAUAAAGUUUCCACUCAGGGUAGUUGCCAGCUGCAAUGGAAUCAUAGAGGUCCUUGGUAGCAUGGCUGUGAUUAGCUCCUCCAACCUUAAUAGCUUCAUCCUCCAACAAACACUUGACUCCACAAGUAGGUUUCCAAUGAAAUUUCACAUAGUGUACUUUCCCUGCCUUACUGAUGAGGGUAUAGGCGUGAACACUAGAGCCUUCCAUGUGCCUGUAAUCUUGUGGAACUCCCAGAUCAUCAUAAAAGAAGGCGAACGUGUGCAGGCUUUCUGGAAGGUGGGAGAAGAAGUCAAGGAUCCUCCAAGUCUCUUGGAUGUGCGACUUGGGGUUCGGUUUGAAAGCACGGAUCGCGUCCGGGAAUUUCAUUGCAUCACGGACAAAAAAGACGGGGAAAUUGUUUCCAACCAGGUCAAAAUUACCCUGCGUUUAAGAAGAACAAAGUCACCACAUGAGUAAUUACUACACAGCAAAAUUAACCCGAAUAAAUUCGUAUAUGGUGAAUAAUGCUACAUGAGCAAUCUAUUACAGCCAGACGACUACCCCCUAUAAUUUAAAGGAAAAUGAAAAGGCAGAGCUAAGAAAGGAAUGAAUGCAAUCUUUCAUUAAAGUCACGAGACUGCAAGAUUUCCAAUAACUAUAAUUAGUCAAAUAUGACUUGAGUACUUCAGAUUUUGUCACCACAGCCACCUCAGCUGCCACUACAGAUACCAAUACAAAUCCAUUAAAUAUGCCUACACUAUUGAGAAAAUAAAUAAAACAUUGAUAAUAUAUAGGUAAAAACCUCACCUCUCUGGUGUAAAACUUCACUGCAAAACCACGAGGAUCCCUCAGGGUUUCAGGGCUGCCACGCUCAUGGAUAACAGUGGAGAAACGCACAAUGACAGGUGUCUGAACACCAGGGGCUCGAAGGAAGUCAGCACAAGUAAGCUGAGAAAUAUCAUGAGUGACCUCAAAGAAUCCCUUUGCACUGGCUCCCCUAGCAUGGACAACACGCUCUGGGAUUCGUUCUCUAUCAAAGGUGGCAAGUUUCUCCACCAGAUGAUAGUCCUCAAGGAGAACUGGACCUGAAAAAUAGAAACAGAAAUUUAAUUCGGAACUGCACCGACUCAACUCAUCAUAUUUAAUCAUCUAGAUUACAUGCAAAAAUAGCAUAAAAAUGAAAUUAAUUGUUAUGCGUUCCAGAACAUAAAAUAAAGAUGACUGUUGCUCGGUUGCAAAUAUUUGUAAUUUUUAUUUACAUUUAGAAGGUAGGGUUUCAGCCAACCAGAUUAUCUUGACAACCCAAAAGGAGGCUGGAGGAAUUAAACGAGAACCAACAGAGCGGGACAAUCAUUUUUCAACUAAAGUAAGUAGAAAUUUUAAAAUAAAGGGUUUACUACUGAAAUACCCCUUGAAAUUGUAGCUCACUUUCAAUUAGCCCUCUAUUCUUUUUUUUUUAGAAAAUUAAGGAUAAGAAUUUUUUUUUUCGGCCAAUUUCCCCCUGCCGUCUAAAUCCUCAACAUUUCUUCUAAUUUUCUGUUAAAUAUGAGGGCAUAUUGGUCAUUUCAAACAUUAAAAAUAAUAAAUAUAGAAUUAAAAAUUAAAAAUUGAAAUAAUAAUGAUAUAUUCACCCUAUGUUUGACAGCCACCAACAUCACACCCUCUCUUCGAUCUCUUUCCCCCUCCUCUUCAACAUCCACCAACAUCACCAUCCUCCACCCUCUGUCUCUUCUCCCCCCAUAUGCCCAUCCCCUCCUCCUUCUCCCUCCCACUCUCUUUUUGCGUCUCUCUCUCCCGAUGCCAAGGUUACAGAGAGGAAAACAAAAUUUAAUAAUAAACAUAUUGAGAUGUUUUGGGUGCCUGUUUAGGAUUUUGAUCUUGAAUUUUUUUUCUUUGGUGGCUGUUUGGCUGUUUGGGUUUCCUGGGGAGUAAGGUGAGGUUAAUAAUAAAGAUCUUCAAAUUUUUUGUGUGGCUAUUUAGGGUUUUGAUCUUGAAUAUAAAUUUUUUUUUGGGUGGUGUUUGAGUUUUUUGGGAGGUGAGGUUAUGGAUGUCGAAGAAAGAGGGAGACAUAAGGAGGAGGGGGAGGGUGAAAGGUGGGGGAAGAGAGAAGAGAGGGUGGGAGACACACUUUGUAGAUAACGAAAGGACGAAAAACAAAAAAGAAGAUCAAAACCCUAAAGCGUAAGGGAAUAGGGCGACAAAGUGAGAGAGAAGGAGGCAGGAGGAGGUGAGUCGGGGUGGGGCUGGUUGACCUCGGGAGAAGCAUCGGGCAGAGGAGGAGGGGGAGAAGAAAACCAGAGGGGAGGGGGAAGAAAAAAAACUGAUGAGAUAAGGUUUUAUUUUGUGUUAUCUUUUUCUUCUUUUUUCAAUUUUUUUUAAUGAUUUAAUAAAAAAUUGGAUAAAAUGUUGAGAUGUAGACCGCAGGGGAAAAUUAGCCAAAAAAAGAAAUUCAUAUCCUUAAUUUUCUAUAUAUAUAUAAAUAAAUAAAUAACAGAUAAGGGGUUAAUCGAAAAGGAUCAGCUUCAAAUACAAGAUAUAUAAGUAUAUAUAUACAUAUCUUAAAUCCCACAAGCGUUUCCAAAGAUUAAUCAUCCUCAACCUGGUAGUGGGCGGGAAUAACAUCCAAAAAGCAGUUUACAUCUCAUAAUCACAUGAAUAUCAAAAUCUUGUUCAAAAAAGUUGAGAAAACCAUCACAAAAAUUCAAAACCCAGGUAAGCGAAGAACCUAUGAUAACAAAGAUAAAUAUAUGCACACAAAUAGUGAACAGCAUCAUAAGAUAGAUAGAUGAUGAAGCGCAACUAAAAAUAAAAAAUAAAAAAACUGGGUUGCAAUUGAAAGCCCAGGAUCAAUCAACGAAGAGUUGUGAUGAAUUACCUCUAGGUCCAACAGUCAAAGAAGAGUCGUUGUUCCAAACUGGAGCACCGGCGUUUGUGGUCCAGUAUGGGGAAUCAAAAGCACUUGAAGGGCGGUGCUGCAACAUACACAACGAAAAUGAAACAAGACCAUGAUGAGCUAAAAGAACAACAAACACAAAAUUUCGAGCACGCUUAAAUAUGACCAAUCUGAUUGAUCAAGAAGAUUAAUUCACCAAGAAAUCAAACUUAAACAAAUCAAGAAAUAUUGAGAUUAGGACAGGGAAAUGAGUACCUUGUAAGGAUCCAUGGAGAGAGAGAUGGGGAGAAGAAG